This 74-nucleotide transfer RNA is filed under the name Bacteriophage sp. Its description in RNAcentral is "tRNA-Trp". It matches the Rfam family "tRNA". Rfam says of the family: Transfer RNA (tRNA) molecules are approximately 80 nucleotides in length. The record is from RNAcentral.
ACGUCCGUACUCAAGUGGUUUAAGAGGAUAGUCUCCAAAACUAUUAUUCCUAGGUUCGAAUCCUAGCGGGCGUG